AACGAACGCUGGCGGCAUGCCUAACACAUGCAAGUCGAACGAGACCUUCGGGUCUAGUGGCGCACGGGUGCGUAACGCGUGGGAACCUGCCCUUAGGUUCGGAAUAACUCCCCGAAAGGGGUGCUAAUACCGGAUAAUUUCUUCGGACCAAAGAUUUAUCGCCUUUGGAUGGGCCCGCGUUGGAUUAGCUAGUUGGUAGGGUAAAAGCCUACCAAGGCGACGAUCCAUAGCUGGUCUGAGAGGAUGAUCAGCCACACUGGGACUGAGACACGGCCCAGACUCCUACGGGAGGCAGCAGUGGGGAAUAUUGGACAAUGGGCGAAAGACUGAUCCAGCAAUGCCGCGUGAGUGAUGAAGGCCUUAGGGUUGUAAAGCUCUUUUACCCGGGAUGAUAAUGACAGUACCGGGAGAAUAAGCUCCGGCUAACUCCGUG
Molecule: ribosomal RNA, 433 nt
Filed under: uncultured bacterium
Lineage: Bacteria
Description: partial 16S ribosomal RNA
Rfam family: Bacterial small subunit ribosomal RNA
Source: RNAcentral